RNAcentral lists this transfer RNA (89 nucleotides) under Actinomadura rubteroloni. RNAcentral's name for it is "Actinomadura sp. RB29 tRNA-Asp". Lineage: Bacteria; Bacillati; Actinomycetota; Actinomycetes; Streptosporangiales; Thermomonosporaceae. The record is from RNAcentral.
GCGCGGCUGGAUGAGGUGGGCGGGCAUCCGCGCCCGUCGGGCGUGGGCGUCAGUUACGUCGAGCAGGAGUUCCAUGCCCUGGCCGAGGA